RNAcentral lists this transfer RNA (87 nucleotides) under Pseudomonas amygdali pv. lachrymans str. M301315. Its description in RNAcentral is "tRNA-Leu". It matches the Rfam family "tRNA". From Rfam's summary of the family: Transfer RNA (tRNA) molecules are approximately 80 nucleotides in length. Their secondary structure includes four short double-helical elements and three loops (D, anti-codon, and T loops). Further hydrogen bonds mediate the characteristic L-shaped molecular structure. tRNAs have two regions of fundamental functional importance: the anti-codon, which is responsible for specific mRNA codon recognition, and the 3' end, to which the tRNAs corresponding amino acid is attached (by aminoacyl-tRNA synthetases). tRNAs cope with the degeneracy of the genetic code in two manners: having more than one tRNA (with a specific anti-codon) for a particular amino acid; and 'wobble' base-pairing, i.e. permitting non-standard base-pairing at the 3rd anti-codon position. Lineage: Bacteria; Pseudomonadati; Pseudomonadota; Gammaproteobacteria; Pseudomonadales; Pseudomonadaceae. The record is from RNAcentral.
GCCCAGCUGGCGAAGUUGGUAGACGCGCAGAGCUCAAACCUCUGUUCUAAUUGCGGAGUGCCGGUUCGAACCCGGCGCUGGGCACCA